RNAcentral lists this ribosomal RNA (282 nucleotides) under uncultured bacterium. RNAcentral's name for it is "partial 16S ribosomal RNA". It matches the Rfam family "Bacterial small subunit ribosomal RNA", at positions 123 to 406 of the family's 1533-position model. The record is from RNAcentral.
AACCUGCCCUUGACUCUGGGAUAAGCACUGGAAACGGUGUCUAAUACCGGAUACGAACUUCAGCCGCAUGGCUAGGAGUUGGAAAGAAUUUCGGUCAAGGAUGGACUCGCGGCCUAUCAGCUAGUUGGUGAGGUAAUGGCCCACCAAGGCGACGACGGGUGGCCGGCCUGAGAGGGUGACCGGCCACACUGGGACUGAGACACGGCCCAGACUCCUACGGGAGGCAGCAGUGGGGAAUAUUGCACAAUGGGCGCAAGCCUGAUGCAGCAACGCCGCGUGAGG